RNAcentral lists this microRNA precursor (86 nucleotides) under Podarcis lilfordi (Lilford's wall lizard). The record is from RNAcentral. Lineage: Eukaryota; Metazoa; Chordata; Lepidosauria; Squamata; Lacertidae.
UGUGUGUGUGUGUGUGUAUGUAUAUGUGUGUGUGUAUAUAUAUAUAUAUAUAUACACAUAUAUAUAUAUACACAUACACACACACA